This is a long non-coding RNA of Leptidea sinapis, 681 nucleotides long. RefSeq lists it as uncharacterized. The record is from RefSeq and is a predicted model, not a curated record. NCBI's taxonomy places the organism in Eukaryota, Metazoa, Arthropoda, Insecta, Lepidoptera, Pieridae. The transcript has 3 exons.
UUUUUGAAAUCCAAGAUGGCCGCCGCACAAAAUUAUGAUUUCAGCAAUAUGGAUAUCGUGUCCGAGGUUCUCGAGGGUGCAGAUAACGAUUUUGUGAUCAUUUUUGAAAUCCAAGAUGGCCGCCGCACAAAAUUAUGAUUUCAGCAAUAUGGAUAUCGUGUCCGAGGUUCCCGAGGGUGCAGAUAACGAUUUUGUGAUCAUUUUUGAAAUCCAAGAUGGCCGCCGCACAAAAUUAUGAUUUCAGCAAUAUGGAUAUCGUGUCCGAGGUUCUCGAGGGUGCAGAUAACGAUUUUGUGAUCAUUUUUGAAAUCCAAGAUGGCCGCCGCACAAAAUUAUGAUUUCAGCAAUAUGGAUAUCGUGUCCGAGGUUCUCGAGGGUGCAGAUAACGAUUUUGUGAUCAUUUUUGAAAUCCAAGAUGGCCGCCGCACAAAAUUAUGAUUUCAGCAAUAUGGAUAUCGUGUCCGAGGUUCUCGAGGGUGCAGAUAACGAUUUUGUGAUCAUUUUUGAAAUCCAAGAUGGCCGCCGCACAAAAUUAUGAUUUCAGCAAUAUGGAUAUCGUGUCCGAGGUUCUCGAGGGUGCAGAUAACGAUUUUGUGAUCAUUUUUGAAAUCCAAGAUGGCCGCCGCACAAAAUUAUGAUUUCAGCAAUAUGGAUAUCGUGUCCGAGGUUCUCGAGGGUGCA